This 279-nucleotide ribosomal RNA is filed under the name uncultured bacterium. RNAcentral describes it as "partial 16S ribosomal RNA". It matches the Rfam family "Bacterial small subunit ribosomal RNA", at positions 32 to 339 of the family's 1533-position model. The record is from RNAcentral.
AACGCUGGCGGCAGGCCUAACACAUGCAAGUCGAGCGAGGUAGCAAUACCUAGCGGCGGACGGGUGAGUAACGCGUGGGAACGUGCCCCUUGGUACGGAAUAGCCCCGGGAAACUGGAAGUAAUACCGUAUGAGCUCUACGGAGGAAAGAUUUAUCGCCAAGGGAUCGGCCCGCGUUGGAUUAGGUAGUUGGUGGGGUAAUGGCCUACCAAGCCGACGAUCCAUAGCUGGUUUGAGAGGAUGAUCAGCCACACUGGGACUGAGACACGGCCCAGACUCC